RNAcentral lists this ribosomal RNA (1034 nucleotides) under bacterium. RNAcentral's name for it is "bacterial SSU rRNA". It matches the Rfam family "Bacterial small subunit ribosomal RNA", at positions 1 to 1048 of the family's 1533-position model. The record is from RNAcentral.
AAGAGAGGUUUUGAGAUAUCAUGACUCAGGAUGAUCGCUGCGCCGUGCUACACAUGCAAGUCGAAACGAUGAUCCCAGCUUGCUGGGGGAUUAGUGGCGAACGGGUGAGUAACACGUGAGUAACCUGCCCUUGACUCUGGGAUAAGCCUGGGAAACUGGGUCUAAUACCGGAUACGACCAUCUGGCGCAUGUCAUGGUGGUGGAAAGCUUUUGUGGUUUUGGAUGGACUCGCGGCCUAUCAGCUUGUUGGUGGGGUAAUGGCCUACCAAGGCGACGACGGGUAGCCGGCCUGAGAGGGUGACCGGCCACACUGGGACUGAGACACGGCCCAGACUCCUACGGGAGGCAGCAGUGGGGAAUAUUGCACAAUGGGCGCAAGCCUGAUGCAGCGACGCCGCGUGAGGGAUGACGGCCUUCGGGUUGUAAACCUCUUUCAGUAGGGAAGAAGCGAAAGUGACGGUACCUGCAGAAGAAGCGCCGGCUAACUACGUGCCAGCAGCCGCGGUAAUACGUAGGGCGCAAGCGUUAUCCGGAAUUAUUGGGCGUAAAGAGCUCGUAGGCGGUUUGUCGCGUCUGCUGUGAAAGACCGGGGCUCAACUCCGGUUCUGCAGUGGGUACGGGCAGACUAGAGUGCAGUAGGGGAGACUGGAAUUCCUGGUGUAGCGGUGAAAUGCGCAGAUAUCAGGAGGAACACCGAUGGCGAAGGCAGGUCUCUGGGCUGUAACUGACGCUGAGGAGCGAAAGCAUGGGGAGCGAACAGGAUUAGAUACCCUGGUAGUCCAUGCCGUAAACGUUGGGCACUAGGUGUGGGGGACAUUCCACGUUUUCCGCGCCGUAGCUAACGCAUUAAGUGCCCCGCCUGGGGAGUACGGCCGCAAGGCUAAAACUCAAAGGAAUUGACGGGGGCCCGCACAAGCGGCGGAGCAUGCGGAUUAAUUCGAUGCAACGCGAAGAACCUUACCAAGGCUUGACAUGAACCGGAAAGACCUGGAAACAGGUGCCCCGCUUGCGGUCGGUUUACAGGUGGUGCAUGG